GAUGAACGCUGGCGGCGUGCUUAAUACAUGCAAGUCGAGCGAACGGACGAGAAGCUUGCUUCUUUGAUGUUAGCGGCGGACGGGUGAGUAACACGUGGAUAACCUACCUAUAAGACUGGGAUAACUUCGGGAAACCGUAGCUAAUACCGGAUAAUAUUUUGAACCGCAUGGUUCAAAAGUGAAAUACGGUCUUGCUGUAACUUAUAGAUGGUUCUGCGCUGCAUUAGCUGGUUGGUAAGGUAAUGGCUUACCAAGGGAACUAUGCGUAGCCGACCGCCGAGGGUGGUCGCCGACCUGGGAGGGUGGCCGCCCACAAGGGGCCUGCGGGACGCAGCAGUAGGGAAUCGUCCGCAAUGGGCGGGAACCUUGCGGAACGGCCCGGAGUGAGUGAUGAAGAUCUUCCGUUCGUAAAGCUCUGUUUUUAGGUGAAAACAUAUGUGUAAGUAGCUGUGCACAUCGUGACGGUACCUAGUCAGAAAGCCACGGCUAACUACGUG
This 497-nucleotide ribosomal RNA is filed under the name uncultured bacterium. Its description in RNAcentral is "partial 16S ribosomal RNA". It matches the Rfam family "Bacterial small subunit ribosomal RNA", at positions 28 to 507 of the family's 1533-position model. The record is from RNAcentral.